GCCGCCGCCCGAGGCCCCACGGC
RNAcentral lists this microRNA (23 nucleotides) under Monodelphis domestica (gray short-tailed opossum). RNAcentral describes it as "mdo-miR-12392-5p". The record is from miRBase by way of RNAcentral. Lineage: Eukaryota; Metazoa; Chordata; Mammalia; Didelphimorphia; Didelphidae.